UCCGUAGGUGAACCUGCGGAAGGAUCAUUAGUGAAUUGAAUAUGUUAGCGGACCUCUUCGGAGUCCCUAGCAUCAAAUCAUAUCCAUAACACCUGUGAACUGUAAGGCUGUCUUGAAAACGAAAGUGAUUAGAGCGCCUGCCCAUUUUAUACAAACAUUAAAGUAACAAACGUAGUCUUAUUAUAAUCUAAUAAAACUUUCAACAACGGAUCUCUUGGCUCUCGCAUCGAUGAAGAACGCAGCGAAAUGCGAUAAGUAAUGUGAAUUGCAGAAUUCAGUGAAUCAUCGAAUCUUUGAACGCACCUUGCGCUCUUUGGUAUUCCGAAGAGCAUGCCUGUUUGAGUGUCAUGAAAAUAUCAACCUUGACUUGGGUUUAGUGCUCUUGUCUUGGCUUGGAUUUGGCUGUUUGCCGCUCGAAAGAGUCGGCUCAGCUUAAAAGUAUUAGCUGGAUCUGUCUUUGAGACUUGGUUUGACUUGGCGUAAUAAGUUAUUUCGCUGAGGACAAUCUUCGGAUUGGCCGAGUUUCUGGGACGUUUGUCCGCUUUCUAAUACAAGUUCUAGCUUGCUAGACAUGACUUUUUUAUUAUCUGGCCUCAAAUCAGGUAGGACUACCCGCUGAACUUAAGCAUAUCAAUAAGCGGAGGAAAAGAAACUAACAAGGAUUCCCCUAGUAACGGCGAGUGAAGCGGGAAGAGCUCAAAUUUGAAAUCUGGUGGCCUCAGGCUAUCCGAGUUGUAAUCUAUAGAAACAUUUUCCGCGUUGGCCCAUGUACAAGUCUCUUGGAAUAGAGCGUCAUAGAGGGUGAGAAUCCCGUCCUUGACAUGGACUACCAGUGCUUUGUGAUAUGUUUUCAACGAGUCGAGUUUUUUGGGAAUGCAGCUCAAAAUGGGUGGUAAAUUCCAUCUAAAGCUAAAUAUUGGCGAGAGACCGAUAGCGAACAAGUACCGUGAGGGAAAGAUGAAAAGCACUUUGGAAAGAGAGUUAAACAGUAUGUGAAAUUGUUGAAAGGGAAACGCUUGAAGU
Molecule: small RNA, 1023 nt
Filed under: uncultured fungus
Lineage: Eukaryota; Fungi
Description: eukaryotic LSU rRNA
Rfam family: Eukaryotic large subunit ribosomal RNA (bases 589-1023)
Source: RNAcentral